Molecule: ribosomal RNA, 507 nt
Filed under: uncultured bacterium
Lineage: Bacteria
Description: bacterial SSU rRNA
Rfam family: Bacterial small subunit ribosomal RNA
Source: RNAcentral
GACGAACGCUGGCGGCGCGCUUAACACAUGCAAGUCGAGCGAGAACCCUCCUUCGGGAGGGGGAAAGCGGCGAACGGGUGAGUAACACGUGGGUAAUCCACCCUCGGCACCGGGAUAGCCCGGGGAAACCCGGAUUAAUACCGGAUGGCCCAGCAGCUCUUCGGGGCGGUUGGAAAAGGUAGCUUUGGCCUCCGGCCGAGGACGAGCCCGCGGCGGAUUAGCUUGUUGGUGGGGUAACGGCCCACCAAGGCGACGAUCCGUAGCUGGUCNGAGAGGACGAUCAGCCACACUGGGACUGAGACACGGCCCAGACUCCUACGGGAGGCAGCAGUGGGGAAUCUUGCGCAAUGGGCGAAAGCCUGACGCAGCGACGCCGCGUGAGGGAAGAAGGCUUUCGGGUUGUAAACCUCUUUCAGGAGGGACGAAGCCACUCGGGUUAAUAGCCCAGAGGGUGACGGUACCUCCAGAAGAAGCCCCGGCUAACUACGUGCCAGCAGCCGCCGUAAU